Molecule: ribosomal RNA, 651 nt
Filed under: Lentilactobacillus buchneri
Lineage: Bacteria; Bacillati; Bacillota; Bacilli; Lactobacillales; Lactobacillaceae
Description: bacterial SSU rRNA
Rfam family: Bacterial small subunit ribosomal RNA
Source: RNAcentral
GGCGGCGUGCCUAAUACAUGCAAGUCGAACGCGUCUCCGUUAAUGAUUUUAGGUGCUUGCACUUGAAAGAUUUAACAUUGAGACGAGUGGCGAACUGGUGAGUAACACGUGGGUAACCUGCCCUUGAAGUAGGGGAUAACACUUGGAAACAGGUGCUAAUACCGUAUAACAACCAAAACCACCUGGUUUUGGUUUAAAAGACGGCUUCGGCUGUCACUUUAGGAUGGACCCGCGGCGUAUUAGCUUGUUGGUAAGGUAACGGCUUACCAAGGCGAUGAUACGUAGCCGACCUGAGAGGGUAAUCGGCCACAUUGGGACUGAGACACGGCCCAAACUCCUACGGGAGGCAGCAGUAGGGAAUCUUCCACAAUGGACGAAAGUCUGAUGGAGCAACGCCGCGUGAGUGAUGAAGGGUUUCGGCUCGUAAAACUCUGUUGUUGGAGAAGAACAGGUGUCAGAGUAACUGUUGACAUCUUGACGGUAUCCAACCAGAAAGCCACGGCUAACUACGUGCCAGCAGCCGCGGUAAUACGUAGGUGGCAAGCGUUGUCCGGAUUUAUUGGGCGUAAAGCGAGCGCAGGCGGUUUUUUAGGUCUGAUGUGAAAGCCUUCGGCUUAACCGGAGAAGUGCAUCGGAAACCGGGAGACUUGA